AGGGGCAACUCUGCGAGUACAGCGGCGCACGGGUGAGUAACACGUAGGUAACCUGCCUUCGAGACUGGAAUAACCUGUCGAAAGACGGGCUAAUACCGGAUAAGACCACGGGAGUUGCGGCUCCAGGGGUAAAAGGUGGCCUCUGCUUGCAAGCUACCACUCGGAGAUGGGCCUGCGCGCCAUUAGCUUGUUGGCGGGGUAACGGCCCACCAAGGCAAAGAUGGUUAGCUGGUCUGAGAGGAUGGCCAGCCACACUGGGACUGAGACACGGCCCAGACUCCUACGGGAGGCAGCAGUGGGGAAUAUUGCGCAAUGGGCGAAAGCCUGACGCAGCGACGCCGCGUGGGUGAUGAAGGCCUUCGGG
This 364-nucleotide ribosomal RNA is filed under the name uncultured bacterium. Its description in RNAcentral is "bacterial SSU rRNA". It matches the Rfam family "Bacterial small subunit ribosomal RNA", at positions 75 to 422 of the family's 1533-position model. The record is from RNAcentral.